UAAUUAUUUCAGUUCUGUGGUAAAUUAUACAAUAAUCACCGGUUACGUUGUUCCAUGUCUGAAAAAGCAUCUAUUACAAAACACAAAUUUGAAUUAAAUUGCAAAAGUUCCUGAACGUUUUGAAGUGCAUUCUAUUUUUUAAAUUUAUUGCGUAUAAGACUAGAUGAAUGACUAAAAGAAAAAAACACUUAAUCAACAAUACAGUGAAAACGUUCAAAAUCAGCUUGCAUUUAUAUACAUUGCAAACACUUUCUACAACUGUAAGAAAAAUAUUUAAUAUAAAAACGACAACAGACGCAUAUUUCAAGUUCAAACAGAAAAAAUAAAAUCCAAGAAUACAAAGUUAUUUACACAAUAUCCAGAUUUGUCACUGAUAACAAGUGAUUGCCGUCAAUCCUUUGACUUUGGACAUUUGAUGGCAAUGAUAGAAUUUUCUCAUCGUCCAAGGCGACUAUUGUACUGAGUGGCUGCGACAACCUGCAAUAACUAGUUGGAAGCAAAACGCAGCUAAUGAGACGAGUACAUUGCGACAUCUAGGUGCCUGCAGAGCGUGGGAGGGGGCAGUGGGGUGAGCGAUACGAUCGGCUUGCGCAACGGCGCGCGCUCCGUAAGGUGCCAUAGCAUCCUCCGCGAAAGGUCACCAUACCACCUUAUGUAAGUAAUAACGACUACGGACUAACUAUAGAACAUUCACAAUCAAAUUGUAAUAGUUUUUUAACCAUCAAAGGUCAUGCGCGAUCUCAUAAUGGUUUCGUUAACAGCAUUAGGCUGUAAUGAUGGUGUACAACAAAUAGAUACAUUAAUUUAAUUAGCUCUUCCUCUUCCUUUGGAAUUUGUGCAUAUGCAAAGAAAACUAACUUAAAUAGUUUACUUUGUAUAUUCGGCAUUCUAAGAUCGGUAUUCAGAUUAUAAAUAUUUUUAUUAGUCGGAACUUGGCUACAUAAAAUUCUAAAAUCACAUAAUUCACGAAACUUUUUUGUCGGUUACAUAACUAGAUUGAAAGGAUCGCGUGCGAGGCCUACAUGGCAAACAUGAGUUGAAUUUGGAAAAAAUGUAGAUCCAAACAUGUGAUUGCAAAACCGACGAUCUUUUUUACUUUCUUAAACAUAUAGGCCGCAGUUGAUGCUCCGUGAAAUUAAGUGACGUAAUUACGAAUCGUUUCUAUUGCUACAAAACAAAUACCUACUUAGAAGCAAUGUCACAAUAAUUUACACAAAUAUAACUACACCGGAAACAUGUUUGUUUAUUUGUUAUUUGUGAUACUUCAGACAAUUGGUUCAGUCGGUGAUUUGAGCUAAUGUAUGCACUGACGCAACACAUUGUUGUGAUGAGUCAGUGAAGUAUGGACCGGCGGCGUCGUUAAGUUGGCGUCAAUGAAAAAUGCGUCGUCCGCACACCUGAGUGUCGCUGUUUGUAUCUACUUUCGCUCUCAUUCAUAACAAGGUGAUCUAGAUACGAAAUACUAUUUGCUACCAAUUCGGCCUAGUUCCACGCUAUUGAAGGAAGGGAUCACAUGUCAAACACAAAUGAUUAACCACAAUUCGGCCACAAUUGCCCAAGUGCGUGAGUGAGUGCGAGAACGGUCUCAGCGACCUCCUCAACCGCAGCUAGAAUAAGCGGAGUAAUGAUAUUUGCCGGUAAGUGCCCAAACACAUGAACCUUGAGGCUACCCAUCCGUUCGCCGGCCGUCACGCCGCCCUAGUUCUUACGGAGAGCGGAGCGUGGGAAAAUCACUUAUGCAAAUCCGGGGAAUCGAUUAUCGUGGCGAUGCGCGAUCUGCGGCGGCGCGGGCGCAGCGCCGAAUGGAAAGUGCAUCGGUUGCGCAAGCGACGUGCACGGCGCUGUCAUACAGGGAGCAUCUCUAAUGUGCAACCUACUGUUUGUGAAGGCGCCGCCGCUGUGUUACAAAAUAUACCGACUUUACCUAUUCUACAAAUAGAAUGGAAGUACAAUAAUUUACGAUUUUUUUAUAGUGGUGGCUUAUUGGAUUCAAAUUUACUUCUGAUGUAAACUAAAGUGCCUGAAAAAGUUCUGCAUAAAGAAUAUUUUAAUUUCAAAUUACAAUUAAAAAAAAUCCUAAUUAAUAAAACCGAUUUUCAUUUUACUAUUAUGACAAAACAGUGUUCUUUGUGAGUGUUAUAUAAGUUAUCAUGAGUUUUUUUUAAUAAAUAAGCUAGUUAUUAAAAAAUUGAAAUAAUUAACUCAAUCAACUUUAAAAACUGAAAGAAGGCUUCACAACACAACUUUAGUGACAAUUAAUUGUCUAACUGCUGGUUCCUAAUUAAUGUCAGUUUCCCACGCUCCCGGACGUCCUGCACAUUAAGAACACACAAAUUACAAUUAAUACUUUCACAGAGAUGCGCACGCGCGAUGCUCUACAGCACUAACACCAUUUCCUCACAACCCCGCAGAACACAUCAAAAUAUAUACUGCAAAAAGGCACACAAACGAUUUAGCGCAGCGUUGCUUUAAAGGUGUGUAAAGAAAAUUGCACGAAAAACAUAUUCCGGUCACUUCCGAGCACAACGGCGUGGUUUGAUGUUCACACGCGGGACUUACCCAGGACGGGGAGCAAUGUGAGCAAGAUCCACAGAGGGGACAUGUUGUCGCGAGGUGCGUCGCGAAGGGA
Molecule: long non-coding RNA, 2629 nt
Organism: Trichoplusia ni (cabbage looper)
Lineage: Eukaryota; Metazoa; Arthropoda; Insecta; Lepidoptera; Noctuidae
Exons: 3
Source: RefSeq, a predicted model, not a curated record